GUCUAAAGUUCCAAAAGGAUAUAUGCGUCAAUUUGAUCCUAUCAUAUUUAUGGAAAAUAAAUCAGAUCCCGAAAAUCUCUCUGAUUUUCUUGAAGGCGCCGAUAACAUGGCGAUUUCAACAAAUUCUUAUGAUAAGCUUUUUCAGGGUUAUUUUGUUAUUCAUAUUUCUUUUCAGUAACAAUUGUCGUGUUCGAAUAAUACCUCCAUGAAUCGCCGAGAAGAAGAAGGUAAAAUAUUUCAUAGAUUAAUUAUAUUCGUCAAAAAAAAUUACGCAUUUGUUAAUCUAUGAUUUUUGUUCUUUCUCUAGCACAUAAUGUAAUUCCGUUCAUGAUUAUCAGUAAUCUUUUUUUUUAUCGAUUAUAACAAUGGUGAUAUUUGUCUUUCUAUGCUUUUUCACAUUCGUUUCUUAUAAAAAUGGGGUUCAAAAACUUAUUGGUAGUAGGUGUGUCAAGAAGCAUGUUUUUGUUCGGUGUUUGAAUUGAAUUGGAUUUGUAGGGAUCUUCAAUUGAAUUCUCUGAAUUUUUUAGUAUUUUUUCCUCAUAUGUUUGUCAUGUUUUUUGUUUUGCAGGUUAAGUUUUGAUCGAUUAUAAUUGAAUUUGCAUCCAGAUAAUCUUGGUAAUUUUUUACACAUUAUACCUGAAUAUAAUUCUGUAUUAUGUCGAACAUAUAACACUUUCUUGACGAUAUUUAUUUGUUUUCCUUCAUUCGUGUAUACUGUUGCGUGGAAAUAUUCUUGCUUGUGUUGAUGGAAAUAAUUAGAAAGAUAGGUUGGAGAUCCCUCUCUUGAUUUCGUGAUGCCGUGAUUAUCACUGAUGGAGGCACUAAUUAAUUCGUGAACGAAAGAGUCACGCAGCUGCAGGUGCUCAUGGAGGUACUACUCUAGGAUGUUGAAAUUUAGAAGAAAAUGAAAAGGAUAUGUUAUAUGGCUUUGUAAUGAAUUAUUGUUGCAUACCAUUGAGGAAGGCGUAGUCAUUGGUGGUGGUUGCUGCCUUUAAAGGUUGUCUACAAAGAUUGAUAAAAUCAGAGAGCAAUUAUUUUAGUGAAGCAGCAUAUUUUAGUGUUCUUGUUUUCUUUUCCUUUUUCUUUUGGAACUACAAUAGCUUGUAUGUUUGGUUGUUAGUACUUCUGUUAGUGGAGAAAAAUAGUUCAAGUUCAUAUUAUAUACACAUUGUUCAACGUAUAAACAACAAAGUUCAUUAAUUGAUUAUUUAUUUAUUUUUGAAUUUAGAAUUUUCUGGGACAAAACCUGAGUGAAUUGAUUGGGAAUAACCAAGUGACAUUGGUCGUGUUAAAAUUUGUGCACAAAUGACUUGGUCGGAUCUCAAUUCUCUGGAGCAGGGAAUGGUGAAAACCUUUCUUGCUACCUUUGGUUGCUUUAUUUGAUCACAUUAAUUGAGAGAUUGAUAGGAAAUUUCAAGGAGAUUUUAUCUCUUAUUCUAUGGAUUUUCUCAUUAGCAUGCAUAUUUUUCUAUAGUCCUUUUGAUUUUAAUGGUAUUGAUUUACUGCAUCUCUCUUUAGAUUUUCUCCUACAAAAUCAACUUUCUGUUAUCCUGAAGACGAUAUUCAGAGUUUUCUAUUGUUGUUACAAGUUAAGAAUGUUCAACAGAUCAAUAUAUAUGUUCAGAGGAAAUUUUCCUGUCUUAUUAUUGUGUUCAUUCUUUAUGAUAUAUGUAUGUUGUGUUUAUGGAACUUGUUCUGAGCCAUGCAAUUGUUUCAUUGUCUUGUAAAAAUAGGUAAAAUGUGCGUAUGAAAUAGUGUGGCAUCAUCCUAUAAGUUUUUUACCUCUGCAGUAUGUUCAUAAGAAUUUCAUUAUAUGUUCAUCUCAGAAUUUAAAAGACUGCAAAAAGAGAGAAGGUGAUUUGACAAUUCCUAAGGGCGUACUGUGCCCUCGGCGUGGUUUGAAACAAGUUGUUAGGCAAGUUUACUCUAGGAGACGGCAAAAGUUACCAACUUUGAAUACACGAAAAACACCAGCAGCAUUCCAUGAUGCACUACUGAAAUUAAAUGAAGCACAUAGAUCAAC
RNAcentral lists this long non-coding RNA (2023 nucleotides) under Salvia miltiorrhiza (redroot sage). RNAcentral describes it as "long non-coding RNA (SMIL_LNC008428)". Lineage: Eukaryota; Viridiplantae; Streptophyta; Magnoliopsida; Lamiales; Lamiaceae. The record is from RNAcentral.